RNAcentral lists this long non-coding RNA (1342 nucleotides) under Oreochromis niloticus (Nile tilapia). Its description in RNAcentral is "lncRNA (ENSONIG00000032451.1)". The record is from RNAcentral. Lineage: Eukaryota; Metazoa; Chordata; Actinopteri; Cichliformes; Cichlidae.
GAGUCCUCCCUGUGACGUACUGAAAUAACAAAAAGCUUGCAAAUUGCAUCAAAGAAAUGCAGAACGUGGAAACGUUUUUUCAUAUUUUGGAUGUGUAAAAGAGACAGGCAAGUUAGAGAUCUUCCAUAAUAAGCACCAAAUUCAUUCAGCAAGUGUGUUGUUGAUGUCACUAUGAGGAAGUGAGCAGGAAGUCAGUGCUGUAUUCAUCUUUGUUACUGCCUCAUUUGUGAACGUGAGAGCAAGACUACAGACUGAGAGAGACAGAGAAGCACGAUGGCUGAAUUCAGAUGGAUUCAAAUGCUUUUGUUCCUGAUACUGAUGCUUCAGUUUAAAGCAGCAGUAACUGAACAACACGGCCCCACAUUCCUGAUCAGAGUUGGUGAUGAAGUCACUUUGCCUUGUCAAAAUGUGACAGCUGGUCAGCCUGACUGUAACAGUACUGGCUGGUUCUUCAAACAUUUUAAUGUUGCUGAGUUAUCCAGGCGGAUUCCUCUUGGUUUGAUUGAAGAAAAACAGAAAAAUAAAUCAGACAGACUGAGUGUUACAGCAAACUGUUCUCUGGUCAUAAAGAACAUCACAGUUCAUGAUGCUGGUCAGUACAUCUGCAGACGCGACACAUCACAAGACCAACGACUCUGUGGACAAUCCUGUUCUUCUCUGUCUGUCAUCAACAUGACUGAACAUGUGAACAAUGGUAAAGUCAUCUUGUCCUGCUCUGUGUUGGAGUAUGAUCCAUGUUCACACACAGUGCAGUGGAUCUAUGAGGGUGAAGAGAAAUCCUCAGACAUGCAGAUAUCACCACGAGGCUGCACUGCCACUGUGACAUUUACAACAUCUCACCUUAAUCAGAAGUUUUUUGAGUUAUUAAAGUGUAAUGUGACAAAUCAGAACAGCAAGAAAGUGCAGCUGUUUCCUUUCAGCCGUCAGUCCUCAGGUGGGACAACAGAUGGGGAUAAAUCAACGGAUGAAGGUAAUGGCCAAAUAUUUCUUUCUGUCUCUCUUUGUGUUAUCAUUCAUUUUUUACCUUGCUCAGUCAGUCUCAGUGUUUCAGUCUCUUGUUACAAAUUGUUGCUUUCAGCUCAUCAUAACUGUACUAGUGACCACUAUCAUAUGUUUUUUACAGGUUCAUUAUUGCCGUAUAUUAUUGCUCUUGUAUGUUUAGUGGCACUCUUAAUUGUUGUAGCAUUCAUCACAUGGAAGAAAGGUAAAGGUGCGAACAUUUCCAGAUUAAACAUAUAAACAACAACUGUUUAAUAGAGUUUACAUUUCAGUGUGAAAAUUAAAUUUCUUUUUAGGGAAAAAAACACAAAUAGAAGACAAUGCUGUGAGUUUAAACACUGAA